Molecule: non-coding RNA, 1257 nt
Organism: Cyanistes caeruleus (blue tit)
Lineage: Eukaryota; Metazoa; Chordata; Aves; Passeriformes; Paridae
Source: RefSeq, a predicted model, not a curated record
UACAGGAAAAUAACCUCAGUAUAUUCCUCAUAUGUACUCCACCAAGUGUGCACAUAAUAUUGUUUCAACUGUUUGGAUUCUGUACAACAUGUGGACAGAAAAAUGAUGAACACCAAAAUGAAUAUGGAAGGAAUUUGAGUGGUUGAACCAAUAAACAAGGCUGCAGCAGCAUACAAUCAAGUUUAUUAUGUACAUGAACAAUAAACCUGGCAAAGGGAGUGCUGAGUCCAACCAAACAUUGUCCAGUUAUGGGGCACCUACGUAUGGAUGCAGAUCUGUUGAAGUGAGUCCAGAGGAGGACCAUCAAGAUGAUGAGAGGACUGAAGCACCUCUCCUAUGAAGACAGGCUGAGAGAACUGGAGUUGUUCAAUCUGGUGAAGAGAUUGGUCUGGCACCUUCCAGUGCCUAAAGGGGAUCUACGAGAAAGCUGGAGAGAUCAGAGUUCCAAUAUGGCCAUGCUCUUGAAAGGGAAGCACCUAAUACACAGCUCAUUUAUCAAGGCAAAAGUGUUUAACUAUGACCCUAAGCACAUGCUGCUGCUUGUUAGUUUAACUGAAGCUACACAAACAUGAUAAAAGGUAUAGCCCCUGAAGAUGGAGGUGGGUUUCUCCUGUGGUUCAAGUGCUAACCUAGGACUCAGAAGAGAAGUGUUCAAUGUCCUGCUGUGCUACAGACUUCUGGAGCAAGAAGUGUGAUAUUUCAUUUCAUCACCUCUGACAAAGGCAUCAUUUCAUCUGUAUUCUAGGGAUUUUAUUCAGAUAACCUCUUACCUCUGAAAGAAUGAAAGAGACAGAAGCAUUAUAUGUGCAUUACAGAAAAUGGUGAGUUGGAGACUGAAAUAGUGGCAGUUCCAGACAGCAAAACUGUCUGCUGUGUGUGACCUCAGAUCCACCUGGUUUGGCCCAUCUCUGCUGUGCAACAGCUCGUGCUGCCUUCUGUUUGUCCCACGCUAUGAGAACAACACAAUGCCUAUGUUGAUGCAAGAGCCUUUAUCAUAUAUUUUGGCCCAUUCAGUGUGUGUAGAUAAAGGCAAGAAUACUAUUUCUAGCCAUUGAAUGACUGCUGUUUCAUUUUCUUAACACUGCCUGGGAUUUAAUUGAAAGGUACAGGGUGCAGAGGGGGAAAAAGUCACUAAAAACUAACUACCACUGAGGAAAUUCAUUGUCCUCCUACUGAAAACCAGAUGACAGUUCCUAGAUUAGACACUCAGUGCAUUUCCUAGACCAGGAAUUCAGGUAUGUUUGGAUAAUUACAUAA